UACGUAGGUGGCGAGCGUUGUCCGGAUUUACUGGGCGUAAAGGGAGCGUAGGCGGGCUUUUAAGUGAGAUGUGAAAUACUCGGGCUCAACUUGAGUGCUGCAUUUCAAACUGGAAGUCUAGAGUGCAGGAGAGGAGAAUGGAAUUCCUAGUGUAGCGGUGAAAUGCGUAGAGAUUAGGAGGAACACCAGUGGCGAAGGCGGCCUGCUGGACUGCAACUGACGUUGAGGCUCGAAGGCGUGGGGAGCAAACAGG
This 253-nucleotide ribosomal RNA is filed under the name uncultured bacterium. Its description in RNAcentral is "partial 16S ribosomal RNA". It matches the Rfam family "Bacterial small subunit ribosomal RNA", at positions 524 to 776 of the family's 1533-position model. The record is from RNAcentral.